GGAGGCGGAGGAGAAGGAGGGGGCGACCGGGGCAGUGUCUCCGUCAGUCACCGCUGCUGUUUCAGCGUGGGGCUGGGCGGCUCCCGCGACGUGUGGAGGCAGGAGAGCGCUGAGUGCCGCAGAAUUCUGGGAAAUCCAGGGCCUUAAGCACUUUCCAAAAAGGAACGAUAUAAAGAAAGAAGUUCACUAGUCAUCAAAAGCAACAGGUUAGACCAGAAGAUAUUUCUGUUCUAUUUUGCAGGUGAAAAAGAUUGAGAAUAAUAAUGGCUGAAAGAUUUUCCCAAGGAUAUGGCAGAGCUUAUCUUCUGGCUCCUCUUCUUGUUCUCUUUCUACUUUGAAACCCUGGCUGUCUGACAGACCUUCAACCAGCCAGCUAGCCUGCCAGCUAAGUGGAUGUACACCUAGGCUAUCCAGAGCAAUGCACUAGUAAUUGCAUCCAAGCACGUCUUGUUGAGUAAAUCCACUAGAAAGUAAGUGGCAUGGAAAUCUGGAAAAAAGCAGCCUUCAAUCAGGUGCUUGGCUAACAGGCUAUAGUAGAAGAGAAGAAAGGCAUCAAAUGAAUUUUCAGGAUAAAGACAAUUUUAUCAUGGAAAAAAAUGCUCUAUGAAGGGGAUCUUACAAUCACAUCACCCACUUUCAUAAUCAUCAAAGGCGUACGACAUCUAAGUCCAAUUAAUGGAAGAUGGAACCAUAUGGACCUCUGUUUCAGUGACGUGAGAAUACUCAUUCAAAAGGCCAAAGAGAGAAUGAGCAGGUUCCAAAUUUCUGGAAUGGAUUAUGGAUCGAUGAAGUGAAGACAAAGCUGAUGUGGUUCUGUGGCUCAAAGCAAAUGUACAGUCCUGGCUCAAGGAAAGAGGUCAAGCAGCUCUAAGUCAAGCUGCUGCUUUUGGCUCCUGUCAUUCUCAGUACCUGUUACUUGGGAUGGCUCAGCCUCUUUAGCUAGGACUAAAGGAUGUUGAUAACAUUCUCAACUAGGACUGAAGAAGUGCAUCUAACACUCUGGAAAGCAUAUUUGCCAAUUAUCAAAGCAUCUGAAUUUGUCUAAAAUAGAGACUUUCUUUGCUGCCAUCUCCUGCCUCUCACUUCACCUCCAGAGUUGUGUGUUAGAAAAUUCAGUAGCAAGGUGAGAGGGAGGAUUCAAUUACUUUGGGUGGAUGACUAUAUUGUACCUGAAAUUUCUUCUUGGUGGUGGCCAGAUAUAUCAGUAAACCCAGAGAUUACUGAGAUAUUUCAGUUCUCAAGCCUCCCGUAUAUAAUACAUUUAUAAUGAAUGAUCUUUCGUUAAAUUUUAAUAGCGUCUAAGUUGUAUAUAAAAUAAUAGCAUGAAAACUAUGUUCUGUGUGGAUAAACAUCAUUAGUGUAUAAGUAGGAAAACUUCUUUGGCUUCUUUUUCCCUCUAGGUUUUCUAAGAGCUCUGUAGAUCCUUUUCUGCUUAAUGGGAAGGCCAAUUUGCUUUCCUUUUUUACUUCCCUCUUGAUUCUCCUGUGCUUUUGACAUGUUGACUUUUUGGGAGGGGGGAUGGGGAAGCAAAAAUUGCUAAUUUUCUGUUGAGGUGAAAUCUUACCUGCCAUCUUCACAUGGUCUUUCAGGUGGUGCCUCAUGAGCCUCCAGUUCACAGGAAAUCCUUGGAAGAAUGCACAGUACAGGCCUACCUCCACAGCAGAGAAAGUUCCUUGCUUAGUCACAUCAGUGGGAUGAAUGCUGACAUGGUGUACUGACAGGUCUGUUUAAACCCAAAUGCUCCUGGCCAAUUGGCACUUGGUUACUUAGAAGCUGGCAUUUCCCUAGAUGAUAUAGCUUUGGGUUCUUCAGUUUGUUCUUCCAUUGAAGUGGAAGCUUCUGCCA
Perognathus longimembris pacificus (Pacific pocket mouse) is the source of this 1845-nucleotide RNA transcript. It is a transcript of the gene named serine/arginine repetitive matrix protein 2-like, with no coding region annotated. NCBI's taxonomy places the organism in Eukaryota, Metazoa, Chordata, Mammalia, Rodentia, Heteromyidae. The transcript has 9 exons. The record is from RefSeq and is a predicted model, not a curated record.